Molecule: ribosomal RNA, 467 nt
Filed under: uncultured bacterium
Lineage: Bacteria
Description: partial 16S ribosomal RNA
Rfam family: Bacterial small subunit ribosomal RNA
Source: RNAcentral
GACGAACGCUGGCGGCGUGCUUAACACAUGCAAGUCGAACGGAAAGGCCCUGCUUUUGUGGGGUGCUCGAGUGGCGAACGGGUGAGUAACACGUGAGUAACCUGCCCUUGACUUUGGGAUAACUUCAGGAACUGGGGCUAAUACCGGAUAGGAGCUCCUGCUGCAUGGUGGGGGUUGGAAAGUUUCGGCGGUUGGGGAUGGACUCGCGGCUUAUCAGCUUGUUGGUGGGGUAGUGGCUUACCAAGGCUUUGACGGGGAGCCGGCCUGAGAGGGUGACCGGCCACAUUGGGACUGAGAUACGGCCCAGACUCCUACGGGAGGCAGCAGUGGGGAAUAUUGCACAAUGGGCGGAAGCCUGAUGCAGCAACGCCGCGUGCGGGAUGACGGCCUUCGGGUUGUAAACCGCUUUCGCCUGUGACGAAGCGUGAGUGACGGUAAUGGGUAAAGAAGCACCGGCUAACUACGUG